This 1461-nucleotide long non-coding RNA is filed under the name Sus scrofa (pig). RNAcentral's name for it is "lncRNA (ENSSSCG00015064312.1)". The record is from RNAcentral. Lineage: Eukaryota; Metazoa; Chordata; Mammalia; Artiodactyla; Suidae.
GAGCGAGGCCAGGGAUCAAAUCUGCGUCCUCAUGGAUACCAGUCAGAUUGGUUGCCACUGAGCCACGACAGGAACUCCAACCCUUGACCACUGGUGAAGGGAAAUCAGCAGAUAGAUGUUAACCCUUUUUGUCUACUGGAAAGCAUGUUUUAAGGCUCCUCCAUGACAGCUAACUCAGUAAUAUAUCCUUGGAUUGGUUUUCCCUCCUUCCCUGUUUCACCCCCUCCUGCUGAUAUUCCUGCCUCCUGGCCCCCAUUUUUUCGAAUAAACUACCUACAUGCAAACAUGUACCCAUAAAUAAAUAUACACAUAUAUUUCUUGCACUGAGCAAGGUAAUACAAAUAUACUUCUAAAUUUUCAUCUAGUUUCUCAAAUAUGUCUGUAGUUCUUUAAUCAAUCUGGUAUUUUACUUUUUAAAUUUUUUUUAAAUAUUAUUGGAGUAGAGUUGACUGGCAAUGUUGUAUUAGUUUCAGGUGUAUAGCAAAGUGAAUCAGUCAUACAUAUACAUAUAUCCAUUUUUUUUCCCAUAUAGGUUAUUACAAACUACUGGAUAGAUUUUACUGUGCUAUACAGUAGGUUCCCGUUAAUCAUCUAUUUUAUUAUUUUUUUCAUUUUUUUGUCUUUUUGCCUUUUCUAGGGCCGCUCCCGUGGCAUAUGGACGUUCCCAGGCUAGGGGUCGAAUCGGAGCUGUAGCCACCAGCCUACACCACAGCCACAGCAACGGGGGAUCGCAGCCACUUCUGCGACCUACACCACAGCUCACCGCAAGGCCAGAUCCUUAACCCACUGAGCAAGGCCGGGGGUUGAACCCGCAACCUCAUGGUUCCUAGUCAGAUUUGUUAACCACGGAGCCAUGACGGGAACUCCUAAUCAUCCAUUUUAUACAGCAGUGUGUACAUGUUCUUCCCACCCUCCCAGUUCUUCCCUCUCCCCCCAUGGUUUCUCCUAUAGUAACCAUAAGAUUGGUUUUGAAAUAUGUGUUUCCGUUUUAUGAUUAAGUUCUUUCAUAUCAUUUUUAUGACAUUCCACAUAUAAAUGAUAACCAUAUGAGAAAGACAAAUAUCAUUUUACUUUUAUACGAUGUGGAAGAGUCUAGCUCUGUUUCCAAUCCAUCCCGAUGGAAACUCAAUUGUGCCACCUUCAUUUACUAACCAUUCCUUUUCCACAUCCCUGAAACGACAUUUUUAUAAUUUUGCCUCACAGAAGCCUUUUGAAGCAAUGCAUGAAAUCUAGAAGAUGCUAAAGACUGUGAAAUUAGACCACAUUUUAAAAAAUUUAAGUGUCUGUUCUCCAAGAUACAUAAGCCUAGUCGAAUGACAAACCAUGAAAAAAUAUUUACAGCACACAUGACAGAGGUCUAAUUUACUUAUUAAGUUAACAUAAAGAGCUAGCAAUCCGCAAUCAAAGGAAUUCCAUACCCAAGAGAAAAAUGGGCAAACAACUUAGAACAAACAUUGAAAA